Molecule: ribosomal RNA, 497 nt
Filed under: uncultured bacterium
Lineage: Bacteria
Description: partial 16S ribosomal RNA
Rfam family: Bacterial small subunit ribosomal RNA
Source: RNAcentral
GAUGAACGCUGGCGGCGUGCCUAAUACAUGCAAGUCGAGCGAACAGACGAGGAGCUUGCUCCUCUGACGUUAGCGGCGGACGGGUGAGUAACACGUGGAUAACCUACCUAUAAGACUGGGAUAACUUCGGGAAACCGGAGCUAAUACCGGAUAACAUGUUGAACCGCAUGGUUCAACAGUGAAAGACGGUCUUGCUGUCACUUAUAGAUGGAUCCGCGCCGCCUUAGCUAGUUGGUAAGGUAACGGCUUACCAAGGCAACGAUGCGUAGCCGACCUGAGAGGGUGAUCGGCCACACUGGAACUGAGACACGGUCCAGACUCCUACGGGAGGCAGCAGUAGGAAAUCUUCCGCAAUGGGCGAAAGCCUGACGGAGCAACGCCGCGUGAGUGAAGAAGGUCUUCGGAUCGUAAAACUCUGUUAUUAGGGAAGAACAAAUGUGUAAGUAACUAUGCACGUCUUGACGGUACCUAAUCAGAAAGCCACGGCUAACUACGUG